GUUAAUGUCGCCGGCGACGGAAACUCAGGAAUGUCGGUUCUCUGUGAUCUCGAUUCCGACGAAAAGGCAGCAAAUUUGCAGCCGUGUCAGCCGCAGAGAGCAUCCCCUUCUUCUCGUAACCGCAGCAGCCGCAGAAACUCCGACAAAAACGCCAUCGUUUCGAUACAGUAAAUAGUAGGUGGAUUUUCAAAAGCACCUGCUUUAGAUUCUUAUUUUUUAUGCUUCAGUGCUUGAAACUGUUCGAAGGGUAGAGGAAAUUUGAUGAAAAGUUUUGUCUUUUCUUGUGGUGGAAGCUGAAGUUCGUUACUAAGGCUGUUGUCUAAGGUCCAGAGAAUGGUAAACCAACGUUAAAGUGACUGUUAGUUAGUUUGUGGCUGUUCAUUAAGUUCCAGAUAAUGGUACACCAACUUUACAUUGAGUGUUAGUUUUAAGUCGGUAGAGUUGAUGGAGUUAGUUUGUUGGUAGGUCGCCCUCUGGAUUGUAUAUAAUCUUAGAGCAUAAUCUUUGGAUGAAAAACUGUUUAUAUGUACCUGCCAUCUUCAAGAGAUAAUGAUAGAUUUCUUGAGGCUUUUGAUAACAUGGACAUAUGAUCUGCAUCUUUGCAUUUUCAAGUGCAAAGAUGCAGAUCAUAUGUCCAUGUUAAUAUCAAAGCCUCAAGAACUCUAUCUGCCCACGAACAAGAUCAGACCACUCCUGGUUAUUUACCUUCUCUUUUUUAGCCUCUUUGUCUUCUAUUUUUUCGACUAUUAGUUUUGCUGGUAGCUGUCUGCGAUUUACAAGAGAUGGCCAGUUAGUAGUUGAGGCUUGCAGAACAUUGGCAUAUGAUCUGUGUCUACCAUCUCUAUCGCCUGAUAAUUAUUAAUCAUUAAUUGCUGAUGUUCUUUUGCAAUGGCUUUGUCCUCUCUGAUCAGUUGUAUUUUUUUACAGACGUAGGCGUAUUAGUGAAUUACAAUACCAAAUUGGCCAAUCUUCACUCAGUGAAUCAGUCAGUUAUAUGAACUUACUUUUUUCCUCUCAUUAGCCUAGAUUCGUUUUCCGUUUUCUCCUCUAGUUUUUCUUUGCUUCAGUGCUUGAAGUUGUUUGAUCGUAGACGAAAGUUGAUGAGAAGUUAUAGCUUUUCUUGAAUCUAAGAUUAGAUCAGUGCAGUUGCCAUAUUGUUCAGUUGUUUUCAUCUUGCAUAUAGAAAUUGCUCUGCAACAUUGGUUAUAGUGAUGCUUCGCAAUGCAGACAUUGCAGUUCUCUCUAUUAUGAUGCUAUGAUCCUACAUUUGAAACCAAGAGGCCUUGUAACUACUUCUCUGUGUAAUACAGUUUUCUCACGAAACUUUAUUAUAUAAGCAUUAUCAUUUGCUUAGUUCUCAUACAUAUAGAUGUAUUCUCUUAUGGCGUAUUAUUUAUUGGUGGAAGCUGAAAUUGGUUAAUUUUUGCAAUAUUUAUUUGCAAUCUCCAGGAGAAGAGCACAAACUUCUUGAGGCUUGGAGAACAUUGGCAUAUGAUCUGCACAUUUGAUCUCCAUUACUUCUUUUGGUGGAAAGUUGCUAAUCAUCCAACGCUGGUAAUCUUCGACUUCCACAAGAUCCUCUCUGCAUACAAUAUAUAUACGUGUAACGGAUCCGUACCCUUCCUCACUAAAGCUUCUUGUCCCUGCCAGAUUGUUUGUAACUAACGGGUUUUCCCUCACUAAUGUCUUCACCACUUCAAGAUCCUUAUUCGCCACAACAACAAUCAACAAAAGAUUGACUGAG
This 1744-nucleotide long non-coding RNA is filed under the name Arabidopsis thaliana (thale cress). RNAcentral's name for it is "long non-coding RNA (ATHA_LNC000720)". The stretch from base 573 to 644 matches the Rfam family "mir-5595 microRNA precursor family". The record is from RNAcentral. Lineage: Eukaryota; Viridiplantae; Streptophyta; Magnoliopsida; Brassicales; Brassicaceae.